Long non-coding RNA from Mastomys coucha (southern multimammate mouse), 1760 nucleotides. RefSeq lists it as uncharacterized. The record is from RefSeq and is a predicted model, not a curated record. The transcript has 5 exons. NCBI's taxonomy places the organism in Eukaryota, Metazoa, Chordata, Mammalia, Rodentia, Muridae.
GUGGCCGGCAGGUUCCCCACCGUAGACCCCGGGCAAGCCUGGCGAGCUGGCGUGCAGUGAGCUCCGUGCGGGAUGAGAAGCAGUUGUGCACAGCCCUUGAGUGGGCUGAAUGGAGGACAAGUCCGGAGCUGGGGGGCCCUCAGGCCAAUCAGGAGCGCCUCUCCAGAUACAAAGCAUCCCAAUCAGGCAGCGGAGCCCCGGUCCCACAUUCUUUGCCGUCACAAAUUGUCACCAUGGGGACCAUCACAAAAAAAGACAGCUCCCAAAUGCAAUCAUUUCCCGGUAAAUUUCUACCCUUCAGCCCCACUUUCUCCAGUCUCCACACCCCCUCCUCCCCUUGACCUCAGUACCCUGGUUUCUUGAGGGAGGGUCGUGUGUGUGUGUGUGUGUGUGUGUGUGUGUGUGUGUGUGUGUGUGUAAAAAGCAUUCAGGAUCAAGGAGGGCUGGGCGCAGUGAGACAGGCACCCAGCCUUCCCUAGACACUUCAGGCCUCCAGCUGCCAUGCUCCAGUGCAGACAGACAAUCGGAUGGGCGGCCUCUGCUAUCUUAGCCUUCAGGGCUUUGGAAGGGGAAGUUCUGCAGCGUGCCCCAGCCCACCUUGACAGGUAGCCCCUGAUUCCAUCACCUCUGAGGGCUCCUUCUAGGAAGGAUGACAAAGACCCUGAAGCUCUCAGGAGUCCCUGUCCUGGUCUCACUUUUUUGAAAUGGAGGAGGAAAGCAGCUGGCAUUUGUUGGUGAUGGCAAACGGAAGGGAAGAGAUUCUGCCCAUGCAUGGCUGAGCAGGUGUCUUCAGAGACCAGACGAAGCUACUGGGCUUACAGAGGUCAUGAGCUGCCCGACGUGCAUGCUGGGAACUAGCUCUGGUCCUCUGCAAGGGCAGGCAGUGUUCCUAACCAGAGCAAUCUCUCUCCUGCCUGCCCCUUUCCUUUUUCUUUUCCUGACCUGAGCAUCGGUGCAUUCUGACCUUCUGAAGCCAGCUCCUACAGUUCCUUUAACAUACCACUCUUCUACAUGCUAAACCUCCCGGCAGUUUGCACGUUAGCCGAUACUCAGGACUAAAUCAUCGGAAGGGCAUUACACGUACUGAUAGGUGAUCAGCACCAGAUGUUUUGGGCUCUAGAAAGCAAAGGUUAUUUAGCCACUAGCUUCUUAGCAUCAUCUUCUUUUCUUUGGACAAAGUCUCAUAUAGUCCACACGGUCUCAGACUCACUCUGUAGCCAGCCAGGGUACCCUGAUACCUCUGCCUCUACCUCCCAACUGCCAGGUCCAGUGCUUAGAUGAAAGCCAGCAUUCACCUGGAACCUGUGAAGCUGGGUCCCCUCUGCCAGAGGAGCUAUUUCCGUACCUUUGGUAGAAGGGACAAAUGGCUAUCUGUGGUACCAAUUAGAAUACCAAAGUGCAUGCUGGCCUCUGGGCUUCCUCAGCAUCACGAGCACCUAUUAUAAAUGUCAGAGUCCAUGCUGGCUGGCCUUCUGGCUCUCCUCACUCUCCCCAUUACCCUAAAUUUCUCCAGCUCAUGGGCUUCCACCCUGCCCUCACUUCUCAUUUCUCCUAAUAACUGGUAUUUUUGCUAUGCUCUCUUGGCUCCCUCUCUCUUGGUUGACUCUUUCUCUUCCUCUCUUUCUCCCUCUCUCUUCUUUCAUAGCCAAGCCCAGUCUGCUAGCCAUGUUCAGUCUAUUGCUUUAUCACUCUGCUCUGGAUUCUUCAGAUACCUCCAGUAGUUCCUUCCUCCGUUAUCUACAAUAAAAACCUUCGGGCUA